This 460-nucleotide ribosomal RNA is filed under the name uncultured bacterium. RNAcentral describes it as "partial 16S ribosomal RNA". It matches the Rfam family "Bacterial small subunit ribosomal RNA", at positions 338 to 795 of the family's 1533-position model. The record is from RNAcentral.
CCUACGGGAGGCAGCAGUGAGGAAUAUUGGUCAAUGGCCGGAAGGCUGAACCAGCCAUGCCGCGUGAAGGUCAGUGCCCUAUGGGCGUUAAACUUCUUUUGUGCGGGAGCAAUAAUGGUCACGUGUGGCCAGACGAGAGUACCGUACGAAUAAGCAUCGGCUAACUCCGUUCCAGCAGCCGCGGUAAUACGGGGGAUGCAAGCGUUAUCCGGAUUUAUUGGGUUUAAAGGGUGCGUAGGCUGGGAGGAAAGUCAGCGGGGAAAUGCCCCCGCUCAACGGGGUGAAGGGCCAUUGAUACUGCUGAGCUGGAGAGCGGAUGCGGUAGGAGGAAUGUGUGGUGUAGCGGUGAAAUGCAUAGAUAUCACACAGAACACCGAUUGCGAAGGCAUCUCACGAAUCCGCGAUUGACGUUGAUGCACGAAAGCGUGGGUAUCAAACAGGAUUAGAUACCCCAGUAGUC